This 451-nucleotide ribosomal RNA is filed under the name uncultured bacterium. RNAcentral describes it as "bacterial SSU rRNA". It matches the Rfam family "Bacterial small subunit ribosomal RNA", at positions 32 to 507 of the family's 1533-position model. The record is from RNAcentral.
AAUCAACGCUGGCGGCGUGCCUAACACAUGCAAGUCGAACGAGAAAGGGGGACUUCGGGUCCCUGAGUAAAGUGGCGCACGGGUGAGUAACACGUGACUUAUCUACCCUCGAGUGGGGAAUAACUUCGGGAAACCGAGGCUAAUACCGCAUAAUACCCACGGGUCAAAGGAGCAAUUCGCUUGAGGAGGAGGUCGCGGCCGAUUAGUUAGUUGGCGGGGUAAUGGCCCACCAAGACAGUGAUCGGUAUCCGGCCUGAGAGGGCGCACGGACACACUGGAACUGAAACACGGUCCAGACUCCUACGGGAGGCAGCAGUGGGGAAUUUUGCGCAAUGGGGGAAACCCUGACGCAGCAACGCCGCGUGGAGGAUGAAGUCUCUUGGGACGUAAACUCCUUUCGAUCGGGACGAUUAUGACGGUACCGGAAGAAGAAGCCCCGGCUAACUUCGUG